This 226-nucleotide ribosomal RNA is filed under the name uncultured bacterium. RNAcentral's name for it is "partial 16S ribosomal RNA". It matches the Rfam family "Bacterial small subunit ribosomal RNA", at positions 524 to 748 of the family's 1533-position model. The record is from RNAcentral.
UACGUAGGUGGCAAGCGUUGUCCGGAUUUACUGGGCGUAAAGGGCGUGCAGGCGGUUUGUUAAGUGCAGGGUGAAAGCUCCCGGCUCAACUGGGAGAGGUCCUUGCAUACUGGCAAACUCGAGGGAGGCAGAGGAAAGUGGAAUUCCCGGUGUAGUGGUGAUAUGCGUAGAUAUCGGGAGGAACACCUGUGGCGGAAGGCGGCUUUCUGGGCCUUACCUGACGCUG